GACGAACGCUGGCGGCGUGCCUAAUACAUGCAAGUUGAGCGCUGAAGGUUGGUACUUGUUCCUACUGGAUGAGCAGCGGACGGGUGAGUAACGCGUGGGGAAUCUGCCUUUGAGCGGGGGACAACAUCUGGAAACGAAUGCUAAUACCGCAUAAUAACUUUAAACACAUGGUUUAAGAUUGAAAGAUGCAAUUGCAUUACUCAAUGAUGAUCUCGCGGUGUAUUAGCUAGUUGGUGAGGUAAACGCCUACCCAGGCCAUGAAUCAGAGCCGACCUGAGAGGGUGGUCGGCCACAAUGGGACUGAGACACGGCCCAAACCCCUACGGGGGGCAGCAGUAGGGAAUCUUCCGCAAUGGACGAAAGUCCGACCGGGCAACGCCGGGUGAGUGGAGGAGGUUUUCGGAUCGUAAAACUCUGGUGGUUGAGGAGAACGUUGGGGGUAGGGGAAUGCGCAUCAAGUGACGGUAACUACCCAGAAAGGGACGGCUAACUACGUG
RNAcentral lists this ribosomal RNA (497 nucleotides) under uncultured bacterium. Its description in RNAcentral is "partial 16S ribosomal RNA". It matches the Rfam family "Bacterial small subunit ribosomal RNA", at positions 28 to 507 of the family's 1533-position model. The record is from RNAcentral.